GAGGAAAGUCCGGGCUCCAUAGGGCAAGGUGCCAGGUAACGCCUGGGGGGUGUCACAGCCCACGACCAGUGCAACAGAGAGCAAACCGCCGAUGGCCCGCGCAAGCGGGAUCAGGUAAGGGUGAAAGGGUGCGGUAAGAGCGCACCGCGCGGCUGGUAACAGUCCGUGGCACGGUAAACUCCACCCGGAGCAAGGCCAAAUAGGGGUUCAUAAGGUACGGCCCGUACUGAACCCGGGUAGGCUGCUUGAGCCAGUGAGCGAUUGCUGGCCUAGAUGAAUGACUGUCCACGACAGAACCCGGCUUA
This 305-nucleotide RNase P RNA is filed under the name Klebsiella quasipneumoniae subsp. similipneumoniae. Its description in RNAcentral is "RNaseP_bact_a". It matches the Rfam family "Bacterial RNase P class A", at positions 43 to 351 of the family's 367-position model. From Rfam's summary of the family: Ribonuclease P (RNase P) is a ubiquitous endoribonuclease, found in archaea, bacteria and eukarya as well as chloroplasts and mitochondria. The record is from RNAcentral. Lineage: Bacteria; Pseudomonadati; Pseudomonadota; Gammaproteobacteria; Enterobacterales; Enterobacteriaceae.